GCCGGAAUAGCUCAGUUGGGAGAGCGUUAGACUGAAGUUGUUUACGCAACAGUCAUCUAAAUGCCCCCGGUUCAAUCGGGUUCCGGCA
Molecule: transfer RNA, 88 nt
Filed under: Dreissena polymorpha
Lineage: Eukaryota; Metazoa; Mollusca; Bivalvia; Myida; Dreissenidae
Rfam family: tRNA
About the family: Transfer RNA (tRNA) molecules are approximately 80 nucleotides in length.
Source: Rfam by way of RNAcentral